RNAcentral lists this long non-coding RNA (310 nucleotides) under Physcomitrium patens. RNAcentral's name for it is "long non-coding RNA (PPAT_LNC012508)". Lineage: Eukaryota; Viridiplantae; Streptophyta; Bryopsida; Funariales; Funariaceae. The record is from RNAcentral.
CAGAUUUCAGCAUUCAAUCUUUCUUCUUCCCAUUUAAUAACAAUCAUACUUCUAUUCCAUAAUUCACUUUCACAAUAUUCAGAAACUCUUAAUCUUCUUAUUCAAAGAAAAUAACAAACAAAAGAAAAGAAGUAGCACCAAGCUUACCCCGGCUCACACUAUCACAGUCUGGCCCUUACUUCCUCUCUCCCAUCCUCUUUAUGCUACCACGAGAUACCAACUACUACAUCUCUAAUGAAAAUCACUUUUCCUAACUAUUCAUCCAUUUUACCUAUUGAACUAUCUUUUCAACAGUCAUCUAUCUCUAUUU